Molecule: long non-coding RNA, 831 nt
Organism: Spinacia oleracea (spinach)
Lineage: Eukaryota; Viridiplantae; Streptophyta; Magnoliopsida; Caryophyllales; Amaranthaceae
Exons: 4
Source: RefSeq, a predicted model, not a curated record
CAGCUGAUCUCAUUAAACUUCUAAUUGUGGUUAAAUAUUUGGUUUUACAGGGCAUGGGUGAUAUGAAAGCAAUAUCAAGCUUGGAUUUGGAAGGAGUGGCUGUGUAGUUGUCCAGGGGUUUUAAGAAUGGAUCAGGAUCCAGAAACUUAACAAUCAUCAACGGCUACAAAACAAUGCAAUCAUGAAUCAGAUUCUUGAGUUGAAAAAUCUUCAACUUACUGGAGGAGAUAAUCAGAAAAAUCAUUGCAUCAUAAUGGAGAAUAUGUUACACCCUUCUCCAUCCACAUCACUUCAGGAGUAUUAGUCAAUGACAGACUCGAGCAGCAAUGCAAGGAACUCAAUUGUCUCACUAAUGAGCUUCAGAGCUUAGACAACUCAAGUCAAGUGUUAAUGAGGGAAGAUUAAUUUGUGUUGCAGAGAUGAUUGUUGCCGCUUACUUUUUGGAUGCUUUAAGCGGUAAAGCUUGCCCUACUGCCGAUGAUGUCAUGAAAAAUCUUGGGCAGAUCGGCAGAGUUGGAGCAGCAACAAAUCACGAUGAAGAAAUCACUAAACAAAAAUGAAACGUCUCCAUCGAUCCAUUAUGUCUAGGUUUUAGGGUUCCCAAUUCAUUGCCGUCCCCGCAACAAAAAAUGGGCUGAUAAAGAGGCAACACAUAGUCGACCAGCAACAACUCUCUCCGUGAUUAAUGCCCUAUAGUGGUGCCUAAGCAAGUGGAGUUGGAUUAGGCGGCGUUAGAGGACAACACUGAGGAGGCUUUGGAGGUUACAUUUGAGGAGUGAUCUCUUUCACAGACGUCUUCCUUUUGCCGAGAAUGCUCAUCCACGCUACAAA